RNAcentral lists this ribosomal RNA (1524 nucleotides) under Enterococcus durans. Its description in RNAcentral is "16S ribosomal RNA". It matches the Rfam family "Bacterial small subunit ribosomal RNA". Lineage: Bacteria; Bacillati; Bacillota; Bacilli; Lactobacillales; Enterococcaceae. The record is from RNAcentral.
AGAGUUUGAUCCUGGCUCAGGACGAACGCUGGCGGCGUGCCUAAUACAUGCAAGUCGUACGCUUCUUUUUCCACCGGAGCUUGCUCCACCGGAAAAAGAAGAGUGGCGAACGGGUGAGUAACACGUGGGUAACCUGCCCAUCAGAAGGGGAUAACACUUGGAAACAGGUGCUAAUACCGUAUAACAAUCGAAACCGCAUGGUUUUGAUUUGAAAGGCGCUUUCGGGUGUCGCUGAUGGAUGGACCCGCGGUGCAUUAGCUAGUUGGUGAGGUAACGGCUCACCAAGGCUACGAUGCAUAGCCGACCUGAGAGGGUGAUCGGCCACAUUGGGACUGAGACACGGCCCAAACUCCUACGGGAGGCAGCAGUAGGGAAUCUUCGGCAAUGGACGAAAGUCUGACCGAGCAACGCCGCGUGAGUGAAGAAGGUUUUCGGAUCGUAAAACUCUGUUGUUAGAGAAGAACAAGGAUGAGAGUAACUGUUCAUCCCUUGACGGUAUCUAACCAGAAAGCCACGGCUAACUACGUGCCAGCAGCCGCGGUAAUACGUAGGUGGCAAGCGUUGUCCGGAUUUAUUGGGCGUAAAGCGAGCGCAGGCGGUUUCUUAAGUCUGAUGUGAAAGCCCCCGGCUCAACCGGGGAGGGUCAUUGGAAACUGGGAGACUUGAGUGCAGAAGAGGAGAGUGGAAUUCCAUGUGUAGCGGUGAAAUGCGUAGAUAUAUGGAGGAACACCAGUGGCGAAGGCGGCUCUCUGGUCUGUAACUGACGCUGAGGCUCGAAAGCGUGGGGAGCAAACAGGAUUAGAUACCCUGGUAGUCCACGCCGUAAACGAUGAGUGCUAAGUGUUGGAGGGUUUCCGCCCUUCAGUGCUGCAGCUAACGCAUUAAGCACUCCGCCUGGGGAGUACGACCGCAAGGUUGAAACUCAAAGGAAUUGACGGGGGCCCGCACAAGCGGUGGAGCAUGUGGUUUAAUUCGAAGCAACGCGAAGAACCUUACCAGGUCUUGACAUCCUUUGACCACUCUAGAGAUAGAGCUUCCCCUUCGGGGGCAAAGUGACAGGUGGUGCAUGGUUGUCGUCAGCUCGUGUCGUGAGAUGUUGGGUUAAGUCCCGCAACGAGCGCAACCCUUAUUGUUAGUUGCCAUCAUUCAGUUGGGCACUCUAGCAAGACUGCCGGUGACAAACCGGAGGAAGGUGGGGAUGACGUCAAAUCAUCAUGCCCCUUAUGACCUGGGCUACACACGUGCUACAAUGGGAAGUACAACGAGUCGCGAAGUCGCGAGGCUAAGCUAAUCUCUUAAAGCUUCUCUCAGUUCGGAUUGUAGGCUGCAACUCGCCUACAUGAAGCCGGAAUCGCUAGUAAUCGCGGAUCAGCACGCCGCGGUGAAUACGUUCCCGGGCCUUGUACACACCGCCCGUCACACCACGAGAGUUUGUAACACCCGAAGUCGGUGAGGUAACCUUUUGGAGCCAGCCGCCUAAGGUGGGAUAGAUGAUUGGGGUGAAGUCGUAACAAGGUAGCCGUA